This is a small nuclear RNA of Ictalurus furcatus (blue catfish), 104 nucleotides long. NCBI's taxonomy places the organism in Eukaryota, Metazoa, Chordata, Actinopteri, Siluriformes, Ictaluridae. The record is from RefSeq and is a predicted model, not a curated record.
GAACACUGUAAAGCACAUAUACUAAAAUCGGAAUGAUACAGAGAAGAUUAGCAUAGCCCCUGCCCAAUGUUGACACGCAAAAUUGUGUAAAGGACUCCAUCAAC